RNAcentral lists this small RNA (365 nucleotides) under Enterococcus faecium. Its description in RNAcentral is "cspA thermoregulator". The record is from RNAcentral. Lineage: Bacteria; Bacillati; Bacillota; Bacilli; Lactobacillales; Enterococcaceae.
AAGAGAAGUAAGUUGCUUUCUUGCAAAAAAAAUGAAGCAAGUGUACAAUUAUAUUGUAAUUUUGUUUGGGAAUAGAAGUUGAAACAUCUGUUGCACCUCUAUCGUACACGAGCAAUGUUACAAUUUAAAUUAGUGCUUUUGGCACGAGGAGGAUAUUAUUAUGGAAAACGGAACAGUAAAAUGGUUCAACGCUGAAAAAGGAUUUGGAUUUAUCUCACGUGAAGAUGGAAGCGACGUAUUCGUUCACUUCUCAGCUAUCCAAGGUGACGGAUUCAAAACAUUAGAAGAAGGUCAAGCAGUGACUUUCGACGUUGAAGAAUCAGACCGCGGCCCACAAGCUGCAAACGUUGUAAAAGCUUAAUUUU